GAUGAACGCUGGCGGCGUGCCUAAUACAUGCAAGUCGAACGCAUAGCGAAAGGUGCUUGCACCUUUCAAGUGAGUGGCGAACGGGUUAGUAACACGUGGACAACCUGCCUCAAGGCUGGGGAUAACAUUUGGAAACAGAUGCUAAUACCGAAUAAAACUUAGUGUCGCAUGACACAAAGUUAAAAGGCGCUUCGGCGUCACCUAGAGAUGGAUCCGCGGUGCAUUAGUUAGUUGGUGGGGUAAAGGCCUACCAAGACAAUGAUGCAUAGCCGAGUUGAGAGACUGAUCGGCCACAUUGGGACUGAGACACGGCCCAAACUCCUACGGGAGGCUGCAGUAGGGAAUCUUCCACAAUGGGCGAAAGCCUGAUGGAGCAACGCCGCGUGUGUGAUGAAGGCUUUCGGGUCGUAAAGCACUGUUGUAUGGGAAGAACAGCUAGAAUAGGAAAUGAUUUUAGUUUGACGGUACCAUACCAGAAAGGGACGGCUAAAUACGUG
Molecule: ribosomal RNA, 497 nt
Filed under: uncultured bacterium
Lineage: Bacteria
Description: partial 16S ribosomal RNA
Rfam family: Bacterial small subunit ribosomal RNA
Source: RNAcentral